CGCAGGCGGGCAGGUCGCACUCGUCCAACAUCAGCUGCUCCAGGCGGGGGCAGGCGGCCGCCAGGCGGGACACCACGUCGGGCGACAGCUGCGUAAGGAAGGGGCAGGUUGGCGCGUGGGGACGGAGCAAGCAAGGGCACGGGGCGGCGCGUGCUUGGUGCAGUGUCCGCUUGGAGUGGUAUGGGCAUGGUCAGAUCUGGCCCACGUGACCCCUUUCCGUGCCCACCCUACCCACAAACUAUUCCGAACCCAUCCUACCCACCCCAUCCAGUGCUCACCUGGCAGCAGUGCCGCAGCCGCAGGUUGCUCAGCGCCCCACAGGUCGUAAGCCAUCCCAGCAGCGCCUCGCAGCUAAACGGCCGCCGCCCCGCGUCCCCCACCUCCCCUUCUCUCUGUCCUUGCUGUGUUCCCCCCUCCUCCGCCUCCGCCACCUGUGAUGCCGCAGCGGCGGCCGCACCACCCCUGCCACUGCCCUCCUCCACCGCCACCACACCAGCGGCGCGGCCACGCCCCGCCUGGGCCUGAACACGACCCACACGCGGUCGCUGGUAGCCGGUCUGCUCCAGCCGCAGCUGACUCAGUGCAGGCGUGCCGCGGCGGCGCAGCUCCCCUAGCAGCCCCACCGACAGCCCCGCCACGCCCACCAGCGCCAGCGUGCGCAGCCGGCGCAGGGGAGGCAGCGAAGGCGGCAGCGGCAGCGGCAGCGGCAGCGGCAGCGGUAUCCGCGCCGCGUGCUCAGCACCAGCAGCACCAUCGGUGCGCGCGCUGCCGCCGCCGCCGCCUGUUCCAACCUCGCUGCCUCCUGCUGCCAGCUGCCCGACCGGCCUGCCGUACAGGAGUGAGAGCAGGUCGUCGUCGUACAGCUCCGUGGCACUGCCGCCCACCAGCUGCAGGUCAGACAUGGCCCACCGCCGUACACAGCGCCGCCGUACGCACUGCCGUACACACCGCCGCCGCUGCUGUGGCGGUGCUUCUUCUUCUUCUUCUGCCUCCGCGGCCGCGGCAGCUUCCAACCCCUCCCUCUGCCCCUCCUGCCCCUCGUGCCCCUCCGCCUCAUGCCCCUGCAUCGCCAGUCCUUGCUGCCCCCCCACCGCCGCCUUCUGCUCCGCCAGCCAGCCCAGCGGCCGCAGCAGGUCCUCCCGCCGGAAGGGGCCCAGGCAGUGGAUGAGGUGCAGCUCGUGCAGCUGGACCAGGUGGGGAGAAGCGGGGUGGGAGAGGGGUCGGGCUACUCCAAUCCCAACCAACGGGGGUUGUAAUCGAAUUAUCGAAACCAUACCCAAUAAGAGGAGCUGCAGGGAUAAGUAGACGCAGAAGACACACCACGCAGGAAGGCAAGUCGACACAGGAAGGCCAGACACACGCCGCACGCCCCUAGCAAGCCCGAUUGCGUUGUGGCCCGGACACACAGGCGACGUGUCCGCCGCAAGUACUGCAGCCUUUCCGCCGUUGCCCGAAUGCACCGUUUGCGCCCUUCCUCCCUUCCUCCCUUCCUCCCCAUCCCCAUCCCCUCAUCUCUUCCAACCUUCCACCCUUCCUCCCUUCCAUCCCCUGCCCGCCCACCUUGCAGCACGCCGCCAGCAGCUCCCCCAGCCCGGCGCCCGACACGCCCGCCAUCUCCAGCCGCAGCGCCUGCAGGUGCGGGCAGGCGGCGGCCAGCGCCCGCAGCCCCACGUCGUCCACGGCCGCCCCCACCCCCAGCUCCAGGCGCGAGAGCACCAGAGAGCGGUGCGGCGGAGGGGGCGGGCACGGGGCGGGCGCAGGAGGCGAGGCGGCGGCGGUGGUGGAGGUGGUGGAGGGAGUGGCGGUGGAUGAUGGCAGGGAAGAGGAGGCAGAGAAGGCGGAGGAGGAGGGGUGCGUGGAGGCGGGGACCGCUGGUCUGCCGCAGCCGCACAGGCGCAGCACGGCGGCGGUGUUGAAGCCCCACCCCACGGCCAGGCUUCUCAGGCCGUGCAAGCCUGCAAGCUGCUGCCCCUGAGCCACCUCCGCCGCCACCUCAGCCCUCUCCGCCACCGCCGCCUCAACCUCCACUUCCGCUUCCUCCUUUGCAUCUCCCUCCUCUCCAGACGAGUCGCUCGCCGAAGGGGUUUGCGCUGCAACCGGUGCCGCCUCUGCCUGAGGCAGGCGCGCGCCGCACCCAGGAGGCACCCGGUGUGGCACACACUCCGUCGGAAGUGGCGCCAGUGGCGGCGCCGCCGCCGCCGCCCGAGGUAUCGGCGGCGCCGCCGUCCGCAGCAUCGGCGGCGGCAGUGCCGCGGGCGCCAGGUCGCGACAGCGGCUGAGCCCCAGGUGCUGCAGCCGCAGCCGGCAGCCACAGGGAUCCCUGGCCUCACCGCUGCCAGCCCCCACUGCCACUGCCACUCCCGCCGCCGUAAAAUCCCCGCCAGCCGCGGCCCCGGCUACAGCCUCCGGCACCGCAGUAAGCUGUAGCAGCGCCAUCAGCUGCUCUGGCCCAACGCCCGAAGAGCCGUUCAGCUCCAGGCGCUGGAGGCGGCGCAGCGCCGGCUGUAGCACCGUCAGCCAGUCGUCGGCAGCUGUAGCAGCCGCCGUGGUGGCCGCAGCAGCCCUGGAAGAUGAGAUGGCUGUAGCAGAUGGCCGGCUCGCUGUGGCGCUUGCGGCCUUGGCACUAGCGGUUCCAUUGGGGGGCAAGCCCUUGGCAGUAGCCGCACCCUUGGUGGCAGCAGCAGCGCUCUUGGCAGAAGCAGCAGCGCCACCACGAGCAACGCUGCUACUGCUGCUGCGGCUGUUGCUACUGCCGCUUCGGUUGCCGUUGUCGAAGAAGCCGCCCAGCUCGAGGUCACACAGGCGCAGGUCUGCAUACGGUAACGGGCAGUUGGUGUUGCUUCCAGCGCUCUGCUCAAACCCACGCCGCUCCGACAUGGAAAUGAAAAUUUAUUCGGCCCUUUGAUGCUUGUUCCUAACCCCGCUCUUCCGUUCUGGGCUUUGGGGAGUUUGGGAUGAGGGCUCUGUCCCCGUCAACCGCCCACCUUGCAAGCACUCCAGUCGCGCCACCGCCUGUCGCAGCUCGCCGCCCCAGGCCCGUGCCACCACCGCUGCCGCCGCCAGCGCCUCCGCCCCCGCCGGCUGCCCAGCCGCUGCCGCUGUAGCUGCUGCCGCCGCCGCCGCCGCCACGCCGCCUGCCCACCUGUUCACAGGUGGCAUGGCAGCCCCCAGCGCACCCGCCGGGUCUCUGCCACCCCCGCCGUUAGCUCGCCUGGAGGAUGACCCGUUGCGGCUGCCCGCAGCAGCCCUUGCUGCUACAGCCGCGGAUGCGGCUGCUGAGUGCGCGGCUACUGCCGCCGCAGCUAAAAUGCCUGGCGGCGCGAGCGGGCAGCCGGACAGGUCGAGGGCGGUGAGGUUGCGGCAACAGCCCUGUGUGGCAUAAGGACAGGAUCAUGACCAUUGUCCCGACGGAAAUCCAUACAGUUAGAAUGACAGGCUGAACACAACCGCUGGCAUAAUGCCAAGCUGCACCUAGGCCCCCAAUCAGCUGGAAUUGGAUGACACAACACCGCACACGCACACACUUCGCACGGACACGCAUGCUCUGUUGUUCUCUUGCCCUGUCUCUCCCGAACACGAACACCACCAAUCGGAUCCCCCACGCACCGCUCUCCCCAGCAGCCGCAGCUCUUGCAGACCCGCAGCCGCCGAGUGUGUGGCCACCAGAGUGUGCAGGUGCGGCAGCAGUACACUGCCGCCACCCUCGGGGGGCAUCUCCGCCGCCGCCAGGAGCGCCAAAGCAAGCGGCGAGCCUUCAUGGCUCCGAUGUGCAACCUGUACAGAGGGGCACGGGCCAAAGCCUCUUCAAGCCCUCCACCUGUACUGUACAAUUCCAUUGCCAGGUUUCAUCCUGGAAAGGCUUCAAUCUAGACCCUCCCAAAGACGGUGAUUCAAUGCUUUUUGACGCCGUGGAGCUGGUCAAGCGCAGCGGGCAAAGCUGAAACCGUAACCAAACCCAAUGCUGCGAGCGCGGCCGUGACCGCUCUAAUCACCUGCAGGAGGGCCGCUAGUGCCGCGCUGUCGCCGUCGGGCUCAGCGACGCCGUCACCAUGGUCACUGCCCCCCUCCCCCUCAAAGGCCGACGGCCACUGGUUCCCAACCGCCAACGCAGCUGUGGUCAGGGCUACACCCGUCGCCCUGCCGUACAGCCCAUGGUACGACAGAUCCACGUAGGUCGGCGCCACCGGCUCCAACUGACCCUGCUGCCGCUGGCGCCGCUGCGGGACCGCGGCCGCGCCGCGCGCGUGCUGCGCGAGGCGCGUGACGAAGGAAGCGAACAGCUGCACCGCCUGCCAUUGCGGAUGCGGAGAUGAGCGAGAGCCCGAUUUGAAGAGGAUUACCGCAGGGGCCGCAGAGGCAGCACAAAGUGUCUGUGGAUGGUCUGGGCCCUGGUCUGGGCCCAAAAGGAUCUGCCGUCUAGAGCUCCCGCACCAGACCCGAGUUCCAACUGCUGCUGGCGGCGCCUGCACGCUACGCUCAGUGCCCCUCCACCUGCGCCUGCACACCCACGCGCUCCCUGACACCAAACACCGACGCGCUCGCGCUCGGCCCGCCACACCCUCCAUACUAACCUCCCUCUGAUGCUCCUCCCGCCCGCCCCCCUUCGGCACGCCCUCACCUCUGCGCUGCAGGCUGGGCUGGUCGGGUGCGCCGGCAGGCACGCCGCCCCCGACCCCAACACCAGGCCACCACCUCCAUCCGCACCCGCACCAUCGCCAGCCACACCGUCACCUGGACAGCCGCCUCUCGCCUCCAACCCCACCCGGGCCCCGGCCCCCGGCCCCGCCCCCGCGCCCGCCUCCGCUCCUGACCCCGCAGCCCUGGUUCCAAGGGGCCGCAUGGGCCCCGACUGGCUCGCCGCCCCCGCGUCCGUGACCACGGAUUCUCCGAGCAGCGGGGGCACCAGCGGCGGCUGCAGCGCGGGCCGGUAGGUGGACGGCUGGGGCCAUGCGGCGGGGGCCAGAUGCGCGGCCGCGGGCAGCUCGGGUGCCAGCCACAGCGUGUGGGCGGCCGGCAGGUGCGUCACGUGCGUCACCGGCAGCCCCGGAACCUGCAGCGUGGCGUGGCGAGCGUGUGGGUGUCGGUGGUAGGCAGUUGCAGCGGUCGUCAUGCCAACCAGGGAUGGGGUGGGGCAGCGACCGUGCAGGUAGCGUGGCGGCGUGUAAACUGGGAUUGAUAUACCGUACGGGUUGUGACGACAGGGCUGCGGGCUGCUCGUACAGUCAGGAAGUACUCACCGGCCAAGUGCCGGGGUCGCCAUGCCUGCCCUUCCCACCGACGGAGGCCGGCGCUGCAGGGGCGGGAAGCGCAUGGUCGCGAUCGCCUGCGGCGGCGACCGCCACCGCCGUCGCCGCCGCCUCGCCGUCGCGCGGCGGAUGGUGGGCGGCCAGCACGGCAGCAUGGCUGUCAGCGAGCAUCGCCACCCGCCCAUCACUCAACAGCACCGCCGCUGCCGCCGCGGCUUCGGCAGGGGGCUGAAACAUGUGUCCGCGCUCGAGCCUGAGCCGCGCUGCGCCAGCACCGCAGCGUGCUGGCGAGGUCGGCUUGUGGCGGCUUGCGGCGGCGGCGGCGCCGCCAGCUGCGCUGGGCAAGGCGCUGGGCUGAGUGAAGGGCGUGUCAGGCCGAAGGCUGUGCGCCGGAUGAGGAUGGCAGGCCAGGGCCUGCGACGUGGGGUUUUGGGUCGGCUGUGGGGCGGUUGCGUGGAGCAAGGCACGCCAGUCGCCAUCGAUGACGGCUCGGUGGCGCUCCGCCCUCUGCCGCCAGGCCUCCAGCCCACCAAGCCCGGCGCCGGCGCCACCUGUGCAGCCAGAGUUCAGCGAGCGUUGUGUGUUUAUGCAGGCCAGGCGUCACAGUUGGAUUUAUGAGCAACGCGCAUGUGGGUCGGGUGCAGGAAGCCACGGCGCCGCCCAGCCCGCCCUAAGAGGCGGCCGCGUACCUUGACACGACAGGCGGCCGUGUGUUUAGGGAGAGCCCGGGUCACAGCAACGACUGAGCCGGCCGCGAAGCGGGACUUGCCUGUUGUAUCCGUUACCAGAAAUAGUAGCGUGUGGCAUGUGGCUGCCACCGCGGCCUUAUCCAAGGGCCGCAGGCGGCGCAGCACAUCGGCGAGUAUGGCUGUAGGGAGGUCGCAAAAGGACCGCGCCAGCACGCCAGCAGCCUCCGGCACGCACUUACCAUCUUCAGGCAGCAUGGCUGUUAAAGCUGUUGCUAUAGCAUAAUUAUAUCCGCAUCAUCGUUCGGCAACCGGGAGUGCCCCUUCACGCCUAAGACGCGCAAACUCGAAACCUCGCCAACUGCGCCCGCGAGGUGGACGUGAGCUACGCAUGUGAAGUUGAUGAAAUUAAAUGAUCUACGAGUGCAGCUGGCGCUGGAAGGGUCGGUAGGAAUGCUUGAUGGGGCUGGCGCGGGUUCUCAUCCAUCGCGGUUCUCCUUCUAUUAAUCGAGUCCGCCCGGCUCCCAAAGCAUUUGCUUUCGACACACCAACACCACAACUGUCACGACCAAACUACGUACUACCUCAAUUACAUAUCAAACCCCGCGGCGUGCUACCUCCUUGCAUUCGCCUCUCAGAGUUUCCCUGCUCCCGCCAGCGCUACCAGGCCUGGAUUUUGAUCCUUUGGAAGGAUGGAGACGCUGUGGCCGGCUCCAUACGCCCUACCGUAAGUAGGAACGCAGAAGAAGCCGAGGAGACACGCAGUUGGGCCGCGCGAAAGUCGGUUGAAACGCAGCUCAAGCUGCAUUGAUAGAAAGUAAUUUGUGCUGCAAACUGCGUUCGGAUUUGGUGGGAAGGCAGUCGGGCGUUGUCGGGGAGAACGCGGCAAAACUCUGCAGACGCGGCCAAGCCUUUGCGUGCUGCGCCCUAGUCCAGGUUCCUGUCUGAUAUCACGGCGUAUUGAUUGGGCCGGUCAGAUAGACAUAAUUGCGCCUGGCGUGCGCCGAGCGGGCAGUUGACGCGCGACUGCUUUUAUGCGCAGGCUCCAGUCUGCGGCGAUGGCGCUGUCCGAACAGCAGCUUGGCCAACACAUUGAUUCUGGCAGCGAGGAGGACCACAUCGCGGUCGUGGCGCAGGUCCAGACUGGCAAGAAGCGACGCAGUGUGAGCGCGGAAGAGGACCCAGACUAUGAGGACGCCGCGCAAGGCGCGCAAGGCAUAACGCAUGAUGGUAAGCAAUUCGGGGAGGGCCUGGACAGAUUCUUGGUGCUGGACCCUGCUCGCCAUUCAAAUGCUCGAGGGCAGCUCGAGUUUCCUUCCAGCUCUGACUCCCAAGGCGAUGCUUAGAAGCGGUUCAAAUCCUCUUUUUCUAUCUAAGGAAAUCGCGUUGGGAUCGUUUUAGGUCCUGUCAGGCGCAGCCCUGUCAGCUCCGACUGGGCACGCCACCGCCACCUGGCACGAACCACCCGGUUUCAUUUUACCCCCGCCCCACUCUGGCUGUCCGCUUGCCAACGCAUUCAGCCAUAUGCCAGUUUUGACCACUAACACGAUGCUCUCUUCUCUUUCUUUUGCAUUGUGGUGGCUACUCGUCUGUAGGUACAUCAAACAAGGCCGGCUACCGAGGCGUACGGCGCCGGCCAUGGGGCUCCUACGCCGCCGAGAUUCGGGACGCAGGCUGCGGCAAGCGCCGGUGAGCAUUUGCUCCUUGACAUGUAUGGAACAUGUCCUACUCGUUUCGCCAUGCGGUAUGCUUGUACGGGGAUUGUCCUGGCCUGUCUGGCCCUAAGCCACCUGCCUCCUGAGCCAGCGGCCUCGAAGCCUGUCGAGGAAUCUUGUGGGAACUUUGGCUACAGGUGGAUUGGCACGUUCAAGACUGCUGAGGAGGCUGCACGGGCGUACGAUGAGGCCGCCAUUGCGCUGCAUGGGCCUCGCGCCAAGGUGAGACGCGCUCGAAUGCACAGUUUCGCUUGUCUUGAUCUGGGUCGGAUGACUUGCACGUCGCCCUGAUAUUGCUUGCACCCACCGUAACUGUGCGAUUCAAGCCAAGUCCGCGCGUCAGUUAUGCCAGCUAUCCGAUCACAGCGUGCCCGCCUGCGAGCCCCCGCGUCAACCUUCAGGCCGCUGACGCAACCCCGCUGCGCCCCCUUUGCAGACCAACUUCACCUACCCCUGCCAGCAGCAGAGCGCCGCCGCCGCGCCAGCCGCCGCACACAAGGCCCACAAGCCGCACGCCGCCGCCGCGCCGCAGCACCACAAGCCGGCGCACCACAGCCAGCAACCUGCUCAGCCGCGCAAGCAGCCGCUGCACCCCCGGCAGCCGUACCAGCAGCACCAGCCCCCCCAGCUGCCGACGCAUCAGGAGGAGGAGCAGUACCGGCGCAAGUCGGACGACUCAGACACCUCUAUGACCGCUGCGCUGCCGCUGCCGCUGUCGCUGACGGGGCAGCUGGGCCUGCCGCCGCUGACGCUGCCGGGGCUUGAGGGUCUGGACCUGAUGGCGCUGCAGUCCAACCCCGCGCUGCUAGCCGCGCUGCUCGCCGCCACGCGGCAGCACCUCCCGGGGUUGGCCGGGCCGGAUGCGCAGCCCGCCUGCCUGCCGGAGCAGCAGCUGUCGGAGCGGGUCUGGGUCCAGGAGCAGCCGGUGCAGGGGUGCGAGGAGGAGGAGGACGGGUUGGAGGAGCCGGAGCCGCCGCAGGUGCUGCGGCCGGAGCAGCUUCGGUCGCUGCAGGUGCUGGCGGAGGUGGCGCACCUGUUCGGGCGCCGCGACUUCUGCAUGUCGUGACCUUCGCCGGCGUGCCAGGUUCGGCAGGGCGUUAGGUAGGCAGCCGUGCAGGCUCAGCCGGGGUGACGUGGGCGAAGAAGAUGGCAAAGUGAUCUGGGUCUAUGUGGUGGGGGCUUGGGCAGUCAUUCGCAGGCCCCCAAAUAGGUUGGGAAUGGGUUGCCAAGGUACUUUUCCCGUGGGGCAGCAGCUUGGUAGGCAGACCGCGGGUGGGUGCAGGCGGCGCGGCUCUGCAGUGCUGUGCCGGGCUCCCGGAGCACGCUCCAUUCUGCGCCAUGUGAGUCAUGUGCGUGGGACGCCAGCGUAGCAGUCUUACGGUGCGCCUCAGCUGUUUCCUGUGUUUGUCGACAGCCUGGCGUCGAUUGUACUUUUCGGCUGUGCCACGGCGAGGCGGUGACUGCGCACAGACGAAGAACAAGGGGCGAGGGAUGAGACGACGACAGGACUGAGUGUGUUGGGCAUGGACUUCGUGCGGGAUGAACUUAUCAGGGGCAGUAGCCCAUGUUGGUGGGCACAUGUUUGGUGCGGUACCAAUCAUGCAUAGAUGCAUAACAUGAGGCUACCACAGACACGACCGCAGGUGGACGGCUGCAUGUCCGAUUAUUUUGGUUUCGAAGCCGAAGCUGUGUGUGGUGCGUUUUGAGUGGAUGACAACGCACGCGAUAGCGUGCCGGUGAUUCUUGCCGCUACAUGGCGCAGGCGCUGUGCAAUCGGUACAUGGUGAGGCACGCUCCCGACUCAUGGGAGCUGAGAUGGGGACUGAUGGUGUUAAGGCCUUUAUACAUAUUCUACGGCAGCACAACGUCAUCAGGAUUAAGGCGAAUCCAAUGUGUGGCUGCAAGCGGCUCUUGACCACGCAAGCCACAGCCAACGAUUGACGCUUCAUAAGGAGUGUGUAUGGGUACCGCAUGUGGAUGAUAAUCCUACCGAGAGGGACUGUGGUGGUGUCUGACACCUUCGCAAGACGGGCGUAUGCGUGAGAAAGUGAGGGUGCAAUUAGUGAUGCCAGUGAGGUUACAGGUGGCACGCGCCAUAUUCGUUUCCGCCAACUUGAAAGACGUUGGGAGGCGAGGAGAGACAGGACAAAGCUUAGGCGACUAGAUAUACUGCCAACGGCAUUGCAUGGUCGGGCUCAAUUUCCCCUGCCACAAUAAUUCGUGUAUCUAGCACGCACGUGAGCAUGGCAUCGUCAAUGCAAUGUGCGGCUGAGGUUGCCUGCAGGCGGGUGAAUGGGCUGUGAUUACUUUUGUUUGGACUCCCCUGUACGCCCGCCGAGCUCAGGCCUAGCUCUUUCAUUUUUCUUUCUUUGGGGGUCCAUGCGUUGCUUGGGGCCUGAACGGUAUGGGCCCCGAAGUGGGCGUAGAGCCACUGGGGCGGGUAAAAGACCCCCGACAGCAACACGGUACAAUUCAUCCCUGUGCAAGGGGCAACACGGUGUAACACAGCUGCCCACCUCGACUGCUCUCAUGAACCCGACCCCCUGACCCCAACCACAGCACAGCUGCUCCCUGGUUCGAAUACAUGUCUGCGGCCAUUUCAUCUUCUCCUACUCUCCUAGUCUCGGGGUUAACCAAUGGCCUCGCCCCCCCCCCUCCCGGGCGCCGCGACCCACCGUCCAGUGACUUACGGUUAGACGCUUUAUGUCGGUGGCAGGUGUAUGGGUGCUUCGGGGCAAUCAGCCGAUGAAGCAGCCUCCCCUCGGUUGCGGACUUGAAAUCCGGACGGCGUGUGCCAUAUGCACCGCCGCCCUGCUGCAGAGUGGCUGCGCCGGGCGCCCGCCUGCGUCCUCCUCCUUCACCUCCCCCGCCGCGCACAGCAGCUGCAGUCCGAUUGCGCGGCUUGCAUCAUUGCAUGUUUGCUGAGGGUACCUGUAUGCGGCAUGCAGCAUGCCUGACUGGGCGCUCUAUGCAUGCGACAUUACAAGAAAGGACAGUCCGACCAAGCAUGGGUGCCCAGCACCCAGGUCAGGAGGGAACCAUCUCCGGCCCGAAGGGAAACCGCCCUCCCCCCAGCUGGCUGCCGACCUUCACCAAACCGUGCAUUGUUUCUGCGCAAAAAGCGUGUCUCAGCUGCUACACCGGCAUACGGUAAGUCGAAGUCGCCCUAUGCUGUCAAGGGACAAGAAAAGGUGGCUCUCCCUCGCAAGGGAAAAGUGGGCUGCGCCAAAGGGGGAAUGGUAGAAGCUCAGGAUCUUGCCCCAUGCAUUAGAUAAGAGAGCGUUAGGGGAGCAUCACGCACGUACUUAUGGUUCUUCGGGGGUGGUCUGGUGAGCAAGUUCUGGGCCGUCAAAGUUGGGAGGUCAGUCGUGAUCGGGUUUCAGGAGCCCAUCCUGGCGGAUUUUGAGAAGCGCCCCACAACCAGGGGAUCUAGGCAUUUCAAUAACCAGAGCUAGGGGCCGAUCGCAGCACCGUGUGGCUCAAUUAUGCAUGUUACGAUGUGCACAAACAAAGCGUGGGAGGUCCAUUUGCGCGUCCUGGCGUGGACAAGUCGGGACAUGUCCGCACAUGCGACGCCUGCACGCUGACAUGGCUGGGCUCUCAAGCUCCAGUGCACAUGAAUUUAUUUCAGCUGCCGGCGCACGCUAUCGAUACGUCACAUGACAAAGCGUGGAGCGGGGUGGGUCGUAGGGAUUUCCAUGAAUGCAUCUUCGAAUGCAGAGCAGGACUCGUCAAGGAAAGUCGAUUGGGACCACUUUGGAUGGGUUGAAGGGUUUAAGGGUUUAACCCCUACACGAUAAGUCUGUGUCCGUGAGCAUGAGCAUUUACAUGGCGUCGAAGUCCAUGUGGCCCCACUAACUCUUCUGAGUCCGGAGGCGCUUGAUAGCAAAAAGCAAAGUGUCUUCUAAAGCGUCUAUACGCUGUUUACGCGCCUGAGCACGUAAUGCCCGCUCCACCUUUCCAUCGGGGUCGGAGCCCCUUCUCACGAAGAUCCUCAAAAGCCUUCAGUUGCUCCUUGCGCAUCUCACACCCUACCCGGGUCAGAUACGGUGCGACAACGGCACCAGCCGCACGGACCUGCUGCGCCACCCGAAUGAGCGCGCUCCGCUCCUGCUGUGUCACCUCCACCACGACAUGCCACACCUCCCUACCCUUUGACCGCCACGCGCGCACGUAUCGUCCGGAGACGUUUGCGCCACUCGCACUGGCCACCGCCUCCAGAUUUCCAGCCGCCUUGAGUUUCUCGAGCAGCUCACGGCUAACCGACUUCAGCAGGACUUUACCCUCGUCGACCCCCCCGGAGCACCCUGCUCGGGCCAGGGCGCGCUGAGUGUCCUCUAGCGCGCAACGUUGCUCCUCCAUCUGGACUUGCAGCGCUGCGACCGUGCCUUGCAGCUCCUUCUGCCGCCGUUCAGCUGCAAGCGCAGCGCCCUGGGCCUCUGAGACAGAGGCGUGGAGCGCCAGCGCUUGUAGCUGCAGCUGCUGUAUGCUGUCGCCGUGCUGCGUGGCUGCUGAUGUUUGCUGCUCUAGCUGCCCAAGUGCCUCCUCCAAGGCCGCUAGGUACUCCUGGAUGGUCGCGAGCGCUGGUGUUGUGGCGAGAUCGAACAGGCGGGUCGUGUAAGACAGGCGCGUGAGACGCUGCAGCAGUUUCGUAGCGCGCUGAAAUGGGAAGGCCGCGCCAGAGUCCGGAGUGCCGAUGCUCAUCGCACUAGUGCUGGCAACCGGGCAGGAGUCCUGCUGGUCGCUGACACUACUGAAGCUCCCAAAGCUUUCCAAACGGCACCCAGGCCCACUGCUCGCCGUGCUCGGCGGCAGCUCGGGCUGGGGCGACGAUCGGGCUGAGGUUCCUGCGAAAGCGGCGGCCACCGCCCUGUCGGUAGCUUCACGCAUUUUUGCCUGAAAUGUUUCGUAGAAAUUGUGCUCGGCCAUGUUUUGUUAUCUCGUGUCGUGUUUGGUCAGGUGGCCACUUUGAGUCGUUGUGUUGUGUUGUGUUGUGUUGUGUUGUGUUGUGUUGUGUCCUGGGGGUGGUCCAGAUUGGUCGUACCCGAAUUCGGGUCUGGCACUAUCUUUCUUCAAUCCCCCCCCUGGCGCCCAAGCCAUGUUGGUGCAUGCCUCUUCAUCUCUUUCACAAGCAUAUAGUGACAUCUGCUUCCAUGCCGUGACAAUCUGGUCCGCUUCAGUCGAUGCACCCCGUCAGCGUCACCGCGGUCACUCCGGUACGCCAACACGUAGAAAUUCUGCCGCAGGUGUCGUGCAACACAGAAGCUGUCUGCACUACUGGGAUUCUGGGCGCGGUGGCAACUGCUGUGUUUCCCAGGGCUUUUUUGCUUCUUGGCCGCUGGCCCCUUCCCCAACGCAACUUAGCUGUGCACAGUACAAAAGCCGCCCACCCCCUGAUACGGAGCGACACGUGCCUCCCGAAACGCCAGUUACAGGGAAUGUUCCCGUAACGUAUAAUCCACUCGGUCCGCUUUUUCAGGCACGCAAGGAGUCGACACGCGGCUGUGCAGCCCGAAACAGCGCUUUUUGCACUCUUGCAAGCUCACAUGCGCCAUCUGCCUGUGCAUCGUUCAUUCUUUCUACAUCAUCUUCCGAAUCUGCUCUCCUGCAUGUCUCGUCUAUGACCUAACAGGCAUCCCGCGAGUCUCUGCAUUGGCGGCUACCACACGACAUACCCGCAUCAACACAACCAUCAACGGUUUGCAAGUAUUGCAACGUUUUAAAGCAAACAAUCAAGUCAUAGACGUCAAGAAGGUGUGCAUUCCAUCUGAAUGCAACACCUAGAAGUUCCAAGAGAGAGGGACGGGCAGUGACGCCCAUCGUAUUGUAUGUCCGCCCGCUCCUAGCCCGCUAACAAUGUACAUGGGAUCAUCUUGUAAUGAUCGACGGUCAAGCUGCUGCUUGUCCUGCCGCUUACGGCUGGGCAGCGGCGAACAGAGGGCAGCUGCAAAGCAGAAUGAAAAAUGGAGGGACAAGAUCAGAACCACAACCGAAGGCGUGUCGAGGGGGGGCACGGCGCAACCCAUAGCUAGCCAUUUCUACAUGCCAUGCCAACCCCAUAGCAGCACACAGUACUGCUUUUUAGACAUUAGGACAAGCAAACCUCAAGCAGUCACAUCCCAACUCACCAGUUCUUCGUGUCGUCAAACACGUUGCCCCAGCACACGCCAUCGUUGGCAGGCAGGCAGAAGUCCGACAGGGGGGUGUCGUUCUUCAGCUCCAGGCAGAUCUUGCCGCCAUUCGCCUGGUCCUUGCUCCAGUUCAGGGGGGUAGCCUUAACGGUCUGCUCGUCCACAGCGCCCCAGGUGGCGGACAGCCACUUGCCGGUGCCGGUCUUGGGCUGCACGUACACGCCGGUGAUGGCGCGGCGCUUCUUGUCGUCGGCGUAGAACUCGGCCUUGAGCAGGCUGGUGCUCCGGCCGCAGGGGCUGGUGGCGCUGUUGGGGGUCACCAGGGUGAUGCUGAAGCAGUAAGCAGUGGUGUCCUUGGUGCGGCCGGCCAUGCUCGACAUCGCGGGCGCAAUGGCGAAGGGGGUGGCGCCGGGAGUGGUGACGCACUGGCACUUGGGGAAGUCGGGGGUCUGCAGGGCGCAGGCGGCCGAGGCCUGGGCGUUGAUGCACGACUGGGGCAGGCCGGCGACGGCGUCGCCCAUGCCGCCAACAGAGACGACCACGGUGUAUCCGGCCAGGGCGGGGCGGCAGCCCUGAGUCACCAUGUCCAGCCAGAAGUUGAUCUGGGUGUCAACGAAGCUCUGCAGCUUGGCGCCCUCCUCGUUGGAGAAGAAGGUGGCGCACACCAUCACCAGGUUGCCGGCGCAGCUGGUGGACCCAGGGGUCACGGUCACGCCGAGGUCGGAGGCCUGGGUGGCCACGUCGUCCUGAAUGGUGGCGAUGUAGCCCUGGCACUCGUCGUUGCUGAUGGAGUAGGGGAACAGAACGCGGCUGGCGUCGCUAACGGUCAGCGAGAUGUAGACGCAAACCUGGCAAGGAGGAGGGGGGCUGGGGGGAGGAGGGCUCGGGAUGCCGGGCGUGGAGAUAGGGCAGCAGUCGUUCUGGCUGUCGAACAGCGCAGCCGAGCACACACCCUUGGGCAGGCCAGGGGGAGGAAUGCACAGCUCCUCAAGGGUGGUGCAGCCCUUGCCGUUCUUGUUCAUCGACAGGGUGAUGCAAAUCUCAGCACCGUCGCUGGCCAGGCCCAGGCCCAGCUGGGUCAGGACCAGGGUGGUCGAGCCAACGGGGCCAUCGGUGGGCUCGUGGAACGAGACACCGACCUUGGUGGGCACGCCGUUGAUGGUGGCCUUCACCACCUCGCCGAAGACGUCGCACGCCUCGUAGACGUUGAACUGUGUACAUCAAAAUGAGGAACAAACUCAGAGAACUUCUUGAAAAAAGAACUCACACUGUGGGUUGCUGGCUGCUGCGACUUUGAAACCGCGACCCGAUGCGCCGACAACCCACCUCGAUCUUCUUGAGGUCUGCCUUGGAGCAGCAGUAAUCGGUGCAGCCAGCCGGCACCUUGGCGCUCAGCUUGAAGCAGUACUGGUUGUUGCCCUUGGCAACGACAACAUCACCCAGCUUGUAGGCCGAGGGAGACUUCUUGCACUGGCAGUAAGGGAACGAGGUGUACAAGCCCGACUGAGCACCCUGGGCGGCCCUGCAGAUUCAGAACGAAGGGCACACGCGGCACGGAGUUACUGCCAGCGGAGCAAGCGGAGUCUCGGCGACGGGAUAGCCUGCUUGCAACUUGCUGUCAAAUCCGGUGGUGGCGCUACGAUCACUGUUACGCUAUGCUGAAAUCAUGAAAAUAGCCCGAGCAUGCUGUAAGAGCGCCGGUUGCAAGAAGGCCGACCGCAUUCAAGCUGCGCAGCGGACCCACACGACCACUAUUUACGCCGUGAGCGUAAAUGAUUAUCUUUGACUAGAGUCAGCGAUGCUCGUCUAUUCUACAACUCAGGAGCUUCCCGAAGCGACAAAUCUGUGAAACGCGCGGUCUUGCUACUCACGCAAUUGCGGCCGCGAAAAGAACGGAGACUAGAAUGCUGCACCUCAUUGUCACAGAGGUGGUUCAGCUAUAAAGAAAUUGUGAGGCACGCGGGCUUAUCAUGGGGGGCCCGGCUGGUCGAACGAGUCGUACGCCCGCCAUUAACCGCGGGCGCGUUAGUUUGGCGUGCGAUGCAAUCAUUCAUGCAACCGCGCCACUUCGACAGUGCCGGAAACAACUUUUAUUUUUGUGGGUAUGCAUCCGGCUAUUCGGUAGGACAGCAGCUGCGUUACGCUCAAACUCGGGCAAACAAUUGGGCUAGCGGCGUGAGCUUGCACCUCACAACUAUCAUCACACAAGUUAUUUAGAUACUGGCCUACCUUGGGCCAUCUCCAAAACUGCCUGUCCAGCCCGGGAGCGGCGGAGCUGUUUCGCCCGCGGUUUGGAGUGGCUUUACUCGUGCCGACGCAAGUCCUUGAUUUUUGCAUUAUAAAAAAAUUAUAGAGUACAGCUAUAGCAACCAACUUGGCAAUGGAGCUGCUGGCAUGGUCCAAACGCGGGAAGCUGGCGCCUUCUAGGCUCUUUGGAGCCCUGUCGGCUUCACAAGUGGCUGAUGCUCAAGUUGUGCAUCGCUUUGGCCGGACAAAUGUCUCCUAGUAACCCGGUUCACAAGCGAAGCGUGAAACGAAAGCAAAGGAUGCUGCGCGCCGGAAGCGAAACGUUCGAUGCACCUAAUUGGGCGCCAAGCGCGGAACCUUGCAGUCUCAGAUGCGUGUGUGCAUGGAAGGAGAAGGCUGGCGGAGGCGAGAGGAGCGGGGGCAGGGAUUGGCUUUCGUGGGGGGGGCGGGGCAAGUGGCGCGGGCGGGGCUGGGGGGGCGAAGAACGGUGAAGACCGGUGCGAUGGCACAGGGUAAGGGGCAGGUUGGCGUAGUCCCGAGUCCCGAGAAACAACUUACGCCCAACCCAGGCGCCAAUGAAACAGGUGAAGAGCUUGAGGACCCCCCUCCCGCUGUCCGGGCCUUACACACAAGCAGGCCAAGUGCGGGGGGAGCCGUAGCGCACACCAUAUACCGUACUGUCACUGUGCUCGAUUUCGUCGCUAGUGACGCCCCUGCUGGCUAGGGUAGCAAGGGUAAUGGGGGUGAACGAGCCGGUUGCUUAGGCUGUGCCAGCUUUCCCCGGGUUUCAUUGGGGUCACACACUUCACUGAUGCACAACUUUCAGAGCCAGGGGGCUGCAUCCUCCGGCAAGCAGACGCCAGGAGGGUGUCCCUGGCCGCAUGCGCUGGGUCCUGGAGUCUACGGUACGCGUUGCCGCACGCGUCGGUUGGCCAUCCAUUCCCCAUCCUUAGACACAAUGACUGUGUCAUGUGUGCACGUUGCGCUUUAGGCUCGGCCAGCGGCACCCUGGGUUGGGUGUGUGAUGGGUUGGGUCUCGGUUUGAGAGGUGUGACCCUUGCAGAAAGCAGGACUCUCCACACUCCCCUCCCGUGCUGUGCAUGUAUGUUCCUGCAUGCACGUGUGUGUAUGAAGUGAAUGGCUCAGCCAACGGCUGUGUGUGCAUGUGGCCCGCGUAAAAUGCAAUUUACCAGUGAUGGGCACUUCUAUCAGGGAGGGGUAGGAAACAAAGUGCCAGACCCCAUGCCCCGAAAUCCCCCGGGACCCCCCUUGAGGGGACGACCGACCCCCCGACGGACAAAACCUUGUUGUUCAGCGGUUAAAACCCCUCCAUUUAAUACCAAAGUAGUGUCAAUCGACUCCUCUUGACGAGCACUAUCACUCCGUGCCAUCAGCGGUCCUGUUCUGAGACUUCGGUCACGGGCGGGAUCCUAUCCAUGGAAAUCCCCUCGACCCAGACCACCCCGCGCUCAACUCUUUGCCGCGUGACGAAUGGACAAUGUGCAUCGGCAGCCUUGUUAGACGUGAACUCAUGCGCAUCAGCGCUUCAGAGCCCAGCUGUGUCAGUGCGCAUAUGUUGAAUGUGGAGACAUGUCCCGACAUGUCCACGUCCGGACGCGCAACUUAGCCCUCCCACGCUUUGUUUGUGCUUAUUACGUCAUAACGUACACAUAUGAGCCUCGCACUGCUGCGUUUGGCCCCUAGUUCUGCUUGUGGGGCGCUUCCCGAAAUCCGCCAGGAUGGGCUCCCGAAACCCGACGGACCCCCAGGGACGAGGACCGACCCCCAACUUUGGCGGCCCAGAACUUCCUCACCAGACCCCCCUUUAAAAAACUAAAAGUACGUGCAUAAUGCUCUCCUGAAGCUCUCUAAUAUUGAGCAUGGGGUAAGAACCUGAGCUUUCUAACCCCCCCCUGCCAUGGCGGCCACAAUGCCAAGAUGCUACCUGGCGGCGCCACGCACAGCAGAGCCCUGUGCUCCGCAAGGAUGCACACGUGCACACACGCACACACAUGUGCGAACACACGUGCACCUGCCCUCCAUGCCACUCGCCCCGCCCCUUCCCCCUUCCCUCACCUCAGUUAUGGCUGACUGGAUGCGGUUGAUCUCAAACAGCCGGCUGCGCCCCUCCUGGGAGCCGCCGCCGCCGCCGCCAGACAGGAGGUCUGGAGUGCGUGUGAGGAAGGGGAGGGGGGGGAUGUGCCCGAGCCCGAGGUCUCAAGCGUCAAGGAAUUGUUUCCAAACCAGGGGGAGGAAGCGGUAGGGGGGCGCGAAGUGUGAUGUUUGUCGGGGUAAGGUGUGAGGCAUUGGGCAUGGAGCGUAAGGCGGGCAUCAAGGCGGGUAGGGUGUCGGCCUGUGCGCUGUCACCCAAGCCACGGGCGCACCGUUAGCACGCACGCACGCGCACACGCUCACACUACGCACCUGCGGCCGCCUCCUGCCCCUUGCUGGUGGCGCCGCUCCCGCCGCCGCCCCCACCUGCACCCCCAGCAGCCGCCCCGCCCGGCACCGGAGCGCUCACCACCACCUGCGCCUCCGCCGCACCCUCCACCGCUGACUCUGCUCCUGCUCCCCCUCCUGCUGCGGAUGCUUCCGCUGGUAGCUGCACCACUGGCGUGUGCCGUGGAUGCGGUGGGUGCGGCGCCGCCAAGCCAGUCACCGCCGCCACCACCGGCGCCAGCGCCGCCGCCACGGCAGCCGCCGGCUCCCCUCCCGAAAUCCGCCAGACACCCCCUUAAAAAGUUAAAAGUACGUGCAUAAUGCUCUCCUAAAGCUCUGUAAUUUUGAGCAUGGGGUAAGAAACUGAGCUUUCUACCCCCCCCCUGCUUCUAUCAACCGGUUGUGCUUUCGGGGUUACAUGGAAGAGAUUAGGCUGGUGGGGCACAGUGGUGCACGGUGACAGAGACAGCCUUUCUUCCCUGUCUGGGUCAGGGGACAGGUUGUGCCGCCCUCGAGUCCGAAUCAAAUCGUUCUUUGCAGCAUCCCUCUUCAGGAUGCUGAGUGGAGUUGGUGUCGGUAGUAAAGGCCAAGCCCAACGCCCAUUGCGGCAGGGCCCAGGUGUGGGCGGAACGCCCGCCAAGAUGAGACACGAUGAGAGGCACGGCCGAUCGCGCCGAGUUAAGCCAUCACCACGCCCAGUGUUCCGGCCGGUUGUAACAGAUCAACUGUUACGAUCCCUGUUCGAGACAGGGCUGGGCCCUAACUUAUGCCUCUUACGAGUCUUCUAGUGAAUACGCGGUCACCCAAGUCUCAUCCGUUGGACAUCUCCAACCCCUUGCCAGGCUCUACAGUGAGUUAUGUCCGGGGUGGGCUAGGUACUGCUACCCCAGGGGAGAGCCUUCCCUGGCAGAGCCCAGGCCCUGCCGUAUUCCUUACCGGGUCGCACACCCACCGAAGUACCGAACCACGCGUCACGGUCUGGGAAUCAGCUGCACCCUACGGGACUUCACCAACCUGCCUUAACACUGUCCCAUACCACGCGUUACGUUUCUCCACGAUCCGCGGAACGGCGGAAACACGUAUUGACAUGUGUACACCCGCAAGGAGACCGCGGGUGGGUGAGAAUACUGCGCCUGCGCCUGAGAGCCCCGGGGCAAGCUGUCUCAUCCCCGAACGUAGAACUCAUAGAGUGCAGUCUGUGCAAAAGGGAAAGCGAGAUGCAAAGGACGAAGCAGGAGUCGUGUGACGCGUUAGCGUGGAUAAACGCCUGGCGGAUGAGAUCGGACAUGGCAACUUGGAAAUGGGCAGGUUGGUGUUAGUCCUGUGGACCUGAUAUACCCGAGCCGGUUGAGGGCCUCAUGUGCAAAACCGCCAGCGCCGGUCUGCUGGCCUUAUCUGGGUACACGCAGUACCGGUGCGGUAGCUGACGAUGCCAGCGUUAUUGACGAGUGUUGCGGAACUAAUGCGUACGUAGACCAGAGCGGAAGGCGGAGUGGGCUUGCAGGCGGCACGAGAGUAGGCAGUCAGUAGCGCAAGUUGCGAAUUCACAUGUUACCUCGUAACCGACGGUAAACGCUGCGGACGGUCGCGCCCAUGGCUGGCUGACGGAAGGUGGCUGCUGUAUUGGGAUGGCUGGGCUGGACGACGCCGGCCGGGCUGGCGUGCACGAUGUGCACAAACCGUUCCGCCUGCAGAUUGCAGAAAGCCCUGACGCCAGCUGCGCAUCCUGACGGAUGACACGUUGGGGGCUGUCACUCAGCUGCUGACUCGGGACCACCGUGCUGUCCCCUGCCGCAGUUACCGCCGCAGCCUGGCUGGCAUUCAACUUAUGUUGAAAAUUAUAUCAAUAUGACGCGUUCGUACUGUGCCCCCAAACCGGUUUACAGGGGCAACAGGCAAUAGCCCUGCGCACAAACUCCUGCUUCUCACCAGAGCUUUCGCCGUUAUGCACGGCCACGGGAACAAUGGUCCCGGCCAACCACAUCUAUGAACCGUGUCCGUUAGCCUCUCCUGAGGCUUGUAACCGGAACGCGGCUCCGCUGAUUGCAGUCCCAGGAUGACGCUAACCUAAGCAAACAGUCAAUGCGCAUGAUCAUUUACACACACGAGUGCUCUUAUGUACUGCCCAUAUUAAACACAGUCGAGUUGUGGAUCAGUUGCACGAUUCACCGCGCCAGCCCUCGCGGCGGUGCUUCACGCAAUCCGCAUUCAGCUGGUGGCGAGUCGCCAAGCCGCCCCCAACAAAACCCGCACCGCACCAAGUGCCAUGCCGUUUAGACACACGCGCACAACACUAAUCCUGCGAGGCAGUGAUCUCAUCUGUCACUUUGUCAACUACCCAAUCAAGCCAUUUUUCCGAACCCAAUUCAAAACACGCGCCCACGGGCGAAGCUGUGCGCCGUGGCUGUAGCGGCUGCUGCCUCUGCUGCCAACGCCUCACAAAAUCCACCCGUGGCCGUCUGCCACAUAAGCUCCAGCGGUCACCAGCUAUGCUCCGUGCCAGCUCGCGAUAUUGCCAGGCCGUGUGGCCGCAGCAGCUGUUUGCACAGCUGCCGCGAAGCAAGUCCGCUGCCACAAGAACUCAAACAGGGUGGGUCAGCCGCGCGGCUUCCAAGCGGCUUCCACCUUGUGUGUAUGGACACGCGACGCCUCGGCUGCUGCGGGCUGUGCCAUUUACGGCAGGCUCGCCUGGUACAGCGGGCAGCUGCGGGCAAGACACGGGAGGGGUGAGGAAUGGCGGUCAGAUACGUGACAACGUCGAGGCAGAUGUCCGCGGGGAAGUCCGUGGGCGAAGCCUAUUGAUUUAGAUCCCGCAAGACAACCCACAUUGGCAAGUACGUUGUUGCGAGCGUGUCAAUGCAAACCCAACUCACCAGUUCUUGCUGUCGUCGAACAAGUUGCCGUAGCACGAGCCGCCGGGCGCGGGCAGGCAGAAGUCCGACAGGGGGGUGUCGUUCUUCAGCUCCAGGCAGAUAGUACCGCCAUUCGCCUGGUCCUUGCUCCAGUUCAGGGGGGUAGCCUUGACGGUCUGCUCGUCCACAGCGCCCCAGGUGGCGGACAGCCACUUGCCGGUGCCGGUCUUGGGCUGCACGUACACGCCGGUGAUGGCGCGGCGCUUCUUGUCGUCGGCGUAGAACUCGGCCUUGAGCAGGCUGGUGCUCCGGCCGCAGGGGCUGGUGGCGCUGUUGGGGGUCACAAGGGUGAUGCUGAAGCAGUAAGAGGUGGUGUCCUUGGUGCGGCCGGCCAUAGUGGAAAUGACGGGCGUGAAGGCGAAGGGGGUGGCGCCGGGCGUGGUGACGCAAGCGCACUUGGGGAAGUCCACAGGCUCGGGGGCGCAGGCCUGGGACUGGAAGCCGCUCAGGCAAGACGCAUCCGGGGCCUGUGCGGAGCCGCCGAUGCCGCCGACGGCGGCGUAAGCGCUGUAGCCAGUCAGGAAGGCGGGGCAGCCCUGGACGCCGGUGAUCAGCUGCAGCCAGAAGGGCAGGCGCUCAUCGAUGAAGGGCUGCAGCUCGGCGCCCUGCUCCGAUGAGAAGAAGGUGGCGCACAGCUUGAUCACGUCGCCAGAGCAAACAGCCGGGGCGAAGUUGAUCGCGACGCCCAGGUUCUCGGCCUCGGUCUGGAGCUCGUCGCCGAUCAUAGCAGCGUAGUCGUCGCAGUCCUGCUGGGAGAACUCGUAAGGGAAGACAACGUUGCCGGUCUCAAGGAUGGAGAGGUACACGCAAGCCGUGCAGGGAGGAGGAGGAGACGGAGGAGGCGGGCUGGGGGGAGGAGGGCUCGGGAUGCCGGGCGUGGAGAUAGGGCAGCAGUCGUUCUGGCUGUCGAACAGCGCAGCCGAGCACACACCCUUGGGCAGGCCAGGGGGAGGAAUGCACAGCUCCUCAAGGGAGGUGCAGCCCUUGCCGUUCUUGUUCAGCGACAGGGUGAUGCAAAUCUCAGCACCGUCGCUGGCCAGGCCCAGGCCCAGCUGGGUCAGCACCAGAGUGGUGGAGCCGACGGGGCCAUCGAUGGGCUCGUGGAACGAGACACCAACCUUGGUGGGCACGCCGUUGAUGGUGGCCUUCACCACCUCGCCGAAGACGUCGCACGCCUCGUAGACGUUGAACUGUGGAGAAAGAAAACCAGAAGGGUGAGAAUGGUUUGGACAAGCACGCUAGCAGACGCCAGCAACUCUGCUAGCGACAAGCCGCGAGCGUCGGUUACUGUGAUGCUCUUCGACAUUCCCGCUCGACUUUCUGGCAUAGUCGCAACCACGUGCUUACCUCGAUCUUCUUCAGGUCCGCCUUGGUGCAGCAGUAGUCAGUGCAGCCAGCCGGCACCUUGGCGCUCAGCUUGAAGCAGUACUGGUUGUUGCCCUUGGCAACGACGACAUCACCCAGCUUGUAGGCCGAGGGAGACUUCUUGCACUGGCAGUAGGGGAACGAGGUGUACAAGCCCGACUGAGCACCCUGGGCGGCCCUGCAUUCCGAAGGCACAAGGGCAAAAGAUGUGUUGGUUCGCAUGUGUGCAUCGGCGUGCAGUCUUGAACCCAUGUGUGCAUGACGUCCUAGAGAAGAUGACACUGCCAUGUACUGAUCGAUUGCGCUCCAGGCUCCAUCAAAGGCCCGCCGGCCUAAGCUGGGGAAUGCUGGCGUGCUCCAGUGGCUGUCGAGCGUCCAGGAAAGGCUGAGCUGCCACCGUGAGCUGGGGAUGCUUUCACGUUAUGACCAACACAUCUGUCUGUGACAUACAUCAAGCUAGGGGCUGGAUCGCCUACGCCGCGACAAAAAUGGCGCGACUCCGAGAGAGCCAUCACAGACACUACUCACGCGAAUGCGGCAGCCACGAGAACGGCAACCAGCGAAUAGCUGGACCUCAUUGUUACAGAGGUCGUUCAGCUAAUUAUGGUGACCAUUUGCGCGCCGAGGGCUAUAAAUUCUGCUGGCCGAUUCCGUACGACGGCCCGCCCGCCGUCUGCCUCGACUUCGACUCGCCUCCUGGCACGCUCGACUGGCUUGCUGGCAUUGGUAACAGCCGAAUGCCGAUGCGAUUUAAUCACCAAGCCAAAAUCCACACGCAAUGUCAGCGGGCGGCGAGCGCCCACCAGGUUUUCGCGAUGAACAUGUUUUCGCGAGGCCAGUUUUACUAUAAUAUAAAACAAACUACAAGGUGUGAGCCAUCAAUAGCUUGAUCAAGGAAACACAGGAGUUGGUCGGCCGGAUUGCGGCCUGCCAUAAAUGGAAGGCAAUUUUAGGGUUGAGCCUUGUAACAAAACUGUUAGCAACAAACAGUUUCUACGCAUCUUAAGGGCCCUCUACAGGGCCCUUAAGAAUCGCGACAGCUUAUUCCUCUCAACGGUCGCUCGCUGCCUCUAGGGAUUCUGAGCCGGUCUCCUUUCUUAAAAGCAUUUGUAUCUAUACUGACUGUGGGUCUUCUAUAGACGACGGCCUGCUGUCCUGUACGCCAUUCAUAUGUUCUGGGUCUCUGCGGCCGGGAAGGGCCCGGGCAUACUCUCCUUAAUGGUCAAAGAUAAUGGGUAGACAACCGUCACCGUAAAACUCCAGCUUCGGGGCUGACUUCCGGCAAGGUAGUUAUUGGCGCGUCGAACAUCGUGCGGUCGACCUGACCGCGCUCGCUCGCCAGCCUGAAAAAGGACUACGUUUGUGGUGCUUAAUACAGCUUUCAUACGACAUGCUGUGCUGCCUCCAUCGCGUACUGCCAGCUGACAGUCUGAAGGGCAAACGACCAUGUUGUGGUUUUGGUGGCCGCGUGGCGCCCGUUCGCCUGCGCGCCCGCCCACCGCGCCCCCGGCCAAGCUUGAGUUUCUGUGGCAUCCUUGAACUGCAUGCCCCAACAGCUCACCUAAGUAGCUUCGGUUAGUCUGCAGGUGCCAAGACGCCUUCGCGGCACUUGGCGCAGCCGGGGCUGGCCGUGCCGUUGAACACCAGGGCCAGGGCUCCCCCUCCAGCUUCCCUGCGCCAGGGCUUUGGGGGCGCAUUUAAGUGGGCGGGUCCGCAAGUGGGUGGGUCUGCUGUGAAGCCCUUCAUGGGCUGAGUCCGCUUGUUGCCUUGCUCAACAAGGGCUGCCAGGUUUGGAGUGGCCGAGGGUAUGGGCCUUUGCAUGUAGUGUCACAAGGGUGUGACUACAGCACCCGAUGUGAAGAGUCUGACGCGGGAUUGGCCCGUCAGGCACGCCACGCACCGGCAGGCACGUGCGGGAGCUGGAGCUUCACAUGUUCAUUGUGGCAAUAUGCAGCUAGUUAUUUACAUAUUCUGCAAGGGGCACGUUCCGACUCCCAUGCUCCCAUAUGCAGUUGAGAAAUGCGUCUAACCUGACAGGCUCAGGUCUCAGCAUGACUGCGCGCAUGCUUUUACUGAAGUCCAAGCCACUGCUCCACACCACACGCAACGCCUCACGUUGAUGCCCUGUGCCGCGACAAAACUGAAGAGCUGCGCGCGCCAUCUAUCUCCCGCCGGGUUCACCCAUGCCAUCGGUGAGUGAUUAUCGCACUGCAGUGUAACAAGCGAUCCGCCAAAACCCCACUCCAUGAGUCAAGUUGGGCCCUGAUAGCAUGUGAUGGCUCGGCGUCUUCGGGUGCUGGGACUGUCCCCUCUGUAACAUCCGCAUUCAUGAGUCUGAUUCCGCUCAUUCAAUGCGAAUCUGACACAGUCCACACGCCAACAAAACCUUCUUCAUCAGAACUGCCCCCUAAAGCCUCAUGGUGCAAGAUGUGUGGUCCCCCCCGCAUGGGAAAAGUGGGCUGAGCCCACGCGACGUCUCUAGUCUGAGGCCGCAAGCGUCUACCUCACCUCCCUGACAUAGCCGGGGUCGGUUCGUACAGGCACGGCCCGCCAUGUGUCCAGCCACGUCCCGCUGCCAAGCAACAGCACAGCCAGCAAUCAACCAAACAGCAGGAAACCCUCUAACAUUCCUCACUGCCCCGGCCUACCACAUACUGCCCAGCCAUCCCAAUACAGCCGCCACCUUCUGUCAGCCAGCCAUGGGCGCGACCGUCCACAGCGUUUACCGUCGGUUACGAGGUAACAUGUGAAUUCGCAACUUGCGCUACUGACUGCCUACUCUCGUGCCGCCUGCAAGCCCACUCCGCCUUCCGCUCUGGUCCACGUACGCAUUAGUUCCGCAACACACGUCAAAUACUGUGCGGUGCUAUGCUCGCCAGCAAAGACCCUAACCAGACACCGGCCGACCUCAACCUGCGCGCCGGCGCCGGUGCCGCUUGUUGGGCGCCUCAAGGUGAAAACAACAACCCAAAGCGCAACUUACCGCGUAUACGCAUAGGAUGAAUAAGACCCGUAAGUUCAGAUCUCCACCUCAAACCUCACCAGCCCAGAGUUUGCUUGGCAUGCAUGAAGCAUUUCGACGCCCUUCCGACCGCUCCAGUACCCACAAAUCAAGUUGAAUGGGGUUUCUCCAGAGCAGCUGAGGCUGGCUAUGGGCAUGGGUUGACCAGCAGCCAGGUACAGAUAGAGAUCUUUUGCCUCAGCAGUUUGUACGACCAGACUGCAUGACGCCUGAUGACAAAGUCGUAUGCACGAAACCAAACUAACUGCGAACUGCGAUCCAAGUUGUAGGUAUCCGGAGUACCGUACCUGACCCGGAUACCACACUGUUCAUAUCGCGCAGGGGCCGAAGGGGUUGCGGAGCCAACCGCCACCGGUGCCAUGUGUGAUCCAGUCAUAACGCAUUUUAGUAGACUUGAAUAAAGCUUGUUGGCCUGUUUACCAUUAAUAUGGCAUGGUUCGGCCUUACGGAAAAUGCACAGCAAUGCUGAACACGCUGGGGUGGCAACCGUGGCGCAUGUACUGCGCAACAGCCCUAGCCUGCCCCCAGUAGCACUCGCAUGCCUGCGCCCGAACUCUUGCAUCGCACACCACACUCAACCGUGUAUUGUUGCAGCAACUCAAGUCCUCGUCACGCCCCACUUGGCCCUCAUUCGGGUCAGCAGUGAUGCAUACAAGUACAUGGUAGCGCUGUCGCUGCAACCUCCAGCGCUCGCAGCUUCCGGCGGCGGCACACGCUCCCGGCGGCGGUGGGAGUACGAAGGAGGGCACGGGCCCACGCCAGCCUUGCCGCCGGCAUGACUGGCCACUCCGCCAUGUCUGUCUGCGGCGCUACCCGCAGCUGCCCCUCAACCCUUACACAGGCGCCGUCGCUGCCACCGGCUCCGCAGCAAUAGCUCAAGGGGCAGACGCCGCUGCCGCCGCUGCCGCCGUGUCACCAGCCUCAGCGCCGCUGGCGGCGGCAGCCGCCCUCCCUGCCGGCGAUGCAUCUGUAGCACCCGCGCCACCGCCGCCGUAGCUACCGCCCGUGGCGGCGGCGGAGCCGGCAGAAGCGGUUGACGCCGGAUACAGCAACGGCAGCGUCACGCUCUCCGACGGUGCCAACACGGGCAGGACGCCGCCACCGCCGCCGCCGCCGCCGCCGGUGCCCACGAGCGAGAGGUGUGACGACGAUGCAAUCCCCAGACCCAGUGACGGCAUGAGGCCGGCGAAGCUGGGGGCCUGCGAUGAGAAGGACAGCAGCCCACCCACGCCCAGGCCCGUGCCGGCGCCGCUGACCUCGCCGCCCGCCGCCGCGGCGGCAGCGGCGGCGGCCGCAACCGCGGUGGCGGCGGCCGCCGAGACGCUGGUCGCCGUCGCUGCAACCGACACGCCCAUGGCCUCAGCUGCGCUGGCGAACGCUGGCAGGGCCCGCGGCCUUGCUGCGAAGGCGGAGGUGCUGCCGACGCCUGCGGCGCCUGUAGCGCCGGUAGCUGCUGCGGCUGCAUCGCCACCGUUGCCUCCGGUGCUGGCGUCAGAGGCAGGCGGCGCAGCCGGCGGCGGCGCGUGUGACGGGGCUGCAGGCGUUGGCGAAGCGGGAGCACCAGAAGGCGCGGCGGCCGCGGCGCGGCCGAGGGCGCGCAAAGGCGUUGGUGUGCCGCCGCCGAUGGCAGCGUACGGCAGUUGGUUGCUGCCUGUGCGGAUGGGCGGUGCUGGCGGCGACGGCGGAGCUCCCAUUGCCGCCGCGAGUCCUAGGUCCGGUGCGCUGUUGAGCGCCGCCGCCGCCGCCGGCGGCAGCAGCCCGUUAUGUGUGACCCCUGCCGCUGCCCCCGCUACCGCCGCCGAGCCCGCUUCCGACACCGUGUUCAGUCCUGCAGCCGCCGCCGCCGCCACCGCCUCUGCCGCCGCCUCUGCUGCCGCCCCCAUCUGUCUGAGCGCGCGGGGUGAUAGCGGUGAGCCCAGCAAUGACGGCGCUGGCGCCGCCGCUGCCGCUACCGUCGAUGCCUCAGCAGAUGCCAGCAUCACGCGCGAGCUGCUACUGCUUCCAGCACCGCCGCCGCCGUCGCCACCAACACUGCUGGCUGCUGCAACGUUCCUGCUACUGCCACUGCCCCCCGGAAACAAGCCGUGCGGCAGCGUCCCCGGCGGCACGGGGCUUCCCGGCGGCCCCGAGCCCGAGGCGACUGCCGCCGCGCCCUUGGCACUGCUGGCGCCGCUGCCGCCGCCGCCAGGGCUGACGCCGCCGCCGCCGCCGCCGCGCGGGCGGCUGGUAAUUCGUUUCAGCACUGGACCGCCGCCGCCAAGCAGCCCGCCCAACGCCCCCCCCAGUAGUACUGGCGGCGCCAUGCCAUCCUCAUCAUCCGAAUCGUCCAGGACCACAGCCGCCGGCGGCACCGCCAGUGACAGCGGCGGCGGCGGCUCCGCGCCGCCGCCACUGACCGCUCGCGCCAUGGCUAGACGCGACGCGCUGCUGCUGCCGCCUGGCUCGUGAACUGCGUCAGCAGGUCCCUCUUGUAACCAAUGCAAUCUGCCGCCGCCGCCGGCGCUCGUGCCAAUGCCGCCGGAACGCGCGGCGGCGGCGGUACUACGGCCGCUGCCGCUGCCGACGCUGCCUCGCGCGACGCGAACCGCUGCGUCCGUUGCCGCGCCUGCCUCCGCCGACUGCGCCACCCCCGCGGCGGCCGCCAGGCCGCCGCCGCCGCCGCCGCCCUCCGGCUGCGCCGGCGCAGCCGCCGGCUGCCGCGCCGCGGCGGCGGCGGCCUGCGCCAGCAGCGCCUGCUGCUGCUGCUGCUGCUGCUGCUUCCGGGCCUUCUUUGCCGCCAACAGGUCAUUCAGCAGCCGCGUCAGCACGUCCAGAGCGUCCAGGAAGCGCGGCCGGGCAGCGGGUGAGGCGGACAGGCAGGCGGUGGCGAGGUCGCGGUAGGCGGGCGGGCAGGCGGAGGGCUCGGCGGGCCAGGUGUAGAACUCGGCGGGCAGGUUGGGGAUGCGGCGGCGCAGCGGCAGGCGGCGGGCCACUGUGGAGCCGUGGAGCAGCUCCCACAGGAUCACGCCGAAAGAGUAGCUGCCGGGGGGAAAGGGGGGAGGAGCGGGAGGGAGGCUGGGGUUAGCCAUUCAUCCAAUCCCAACGGGGCACCAGUCCAAUGAAUCGCAGCCCGCUGUCGGCUUGGGCGUACAGCGUGUACUCCGCCCCUUCCCCCUGCCCCUUCCCCUGGCCGCUCUGUGCCCCAUCCCGUCCCCCUGCCGCUCCCUGCCCCCUGCCCCUUCCCCCUGCCCCUCCCCCUGCCGCUCCCUGCCUCCCGAGCACGCCCCCCUCCCCCUCCAGCCCCACCCACAGGUCUGAGGCGGUGGUGGCUCGGCCGUCCUCCACCAGCUCCGCGGCGAUGUAGAAGGGCGUGCCGCGGCUGCGGGGUGAGGCAGCGGUGCGGGGGGAGGGGGCUACAUUCAUGACUAAUUCAACAUGACAAGGGGUGUAAUUGGGUGUGCGGGUGAAGGCCGGAGUCCCCAACUGACACGUGUGAAGUAUGGGGGGGCGGGGUUGGGUGUGCGGGCGGCAUGUGGGGCCGGGCUCACGGGCUGGUGUGAGUGGCGUGUUGCAGGACUGGCGCGAGCGGCGGGAUCAGCAGCAGCAAAGGCAGGAAGGCGGACACGUCACACGCGCGCGCUGACCUCACUCGGGCCCCCAUGACCUCCGCCCCGCAACACCGCAAUCACUCCGUCUCGCAUGUUCGGCUACCCUUCCUCCGGCUGCCUCCUCCGUCUUGCGUGCACGGCUACCCCCGCCCACACCCCGCCCCCCACUCUCACCAACCUGUUCCUACUGCCCCAACCUCGCAGCCCCCCUCCCAUCACCCCCAUGGCCCCCGCCCCCCCCCCCAUCUCACCACUCCGGUCUCCACAUGAACGUCCCCCCUACUUGGUAACGACUUCGUCUGCAGCCUUCCGUGCCGCUCCUGUACCGCUUCUCCAAACAUCCUUGCAAUCCCCCCCCCGCCCUCACCGGAUGUUGCUGAUGUGGCUCUCUCCCGCCUUGAGUUUCAGCGCCAGUCCAAAGUCCGCAAUCUUGGCUGUGAAGCCGUACCCACUGGCGGCGUUGGAGCGAAGCAGGAUGUUGGCGGGCUUCUACGGAGGGCGGGAGGGGGCGGCGGAGGGGAGCUGUUGAUGUAAGGAACGUGAUGAUAAGAUAAUUAAUAGGUCACAAGUCAUGGUCACAAGUUUCAAAGUGCCCACGUCUAGUGGGAACAGGGGAUGGGGGAGCCGUUCAUGUGAAGGACGGAGUGGUUAGGUCACAAGUGUGAAGUGCCGACGUCCAGAGGGAACAAGGGGGGAAGGGAGGGAGGGUUGGAUGAUGGGAGUUGGUGGGAUGCUGUGGAGGGUGGGGUGAAAGCGAAGCAGGAGGAGGCAGCAGGGGUAGUGGGCGGAGCGGGACGCAGCUGCGUGGCGCGGUACGGAGCGGGAAUGGCACGGGCUGGGGGACAGAGAGGGAAGGAGGCGGAGGCGGGGGCGCGGAAGGGCGGGUUCCCAAGGGGCUGGCUGGGUGUUGGUUUCGUUUGGGGUUUACCUCAUCACACACACACAUGCACUCGCGCGCGCUCCGCACCAGGUCUCCGUGUAUGAUGCUGCGGGCGUGUAUGUAGCUCAUGCCGCUGGCCACCUCGAUGCCGAUGCGCAGCGCCGUCUCCAGGUCCGCCAGCCCGCUACUGCCGCCGCCGCCGCCGCCGCCGUCAGUGUGGGUCGCUGCGAAGCGGCCGCCGUCCAGCGCGUCCUUAAGCGUGCCGCCGUCGCAGUACUCCUGAGGGCGGGCGGAGGGGAGCGGACCGGUGGGUUACAUUCAUAAUUAGGUAAGGAAAUGGUAUAAGNNNNNNNNNNNNNNNNNNNNNNNNNNNNNNNNNNNNNNNNNNNNNNNNNNNNNNNNNNNNNNNNNNNNNNNNNNNNNNNNNNNNNNNNNNNNNNNNNNNNUGGAAAGUACAACACCCCUCCCCCCCUUACAACAUUUCUCCCCCCCUACAACACCCCUCCCCCCUUACAACACCCCUCCCCCCCGCACCUGCUCCUUGAAAGAGUUGCCUCCGCCUCCGCCGCCACCUCCGCCCCUCUCGCCUCCCUCGCCUCCCUCCCCGGCGCCGCCGCCGCCGCUGCCGCCCACAAAGGCCUGGAACAGCAGCGUCUUCACCGCCACCUCCAGCCCGCGCCACUCGCCUGCGAGACACACACACGCAUGCACACAUGGACAUGGUCACGUUCGUGCACAGUGCCAACCCUUCCCAACACACUCAGUCACAACACACGCCACGCAGGAGCCCAAGCCGCUUUGGAAGCAGCCCUCUACCCCCGCAACAGGUUGCUGUCUGUCCCUGCCCCCCUUGCUGCCCCCACCCCCCCAUCGGCCCUCGGCCCGGACGUCAGCCCUGCAAACCAUCACAUCCCAUCCUUCAGCCCCCCCUCCCUCCUUUCCCUACCCAUCCAUCCCCAUCGCUUCCUCUCCCCUGGCUGGUAUCUCGUCCUCGCUCCUUUGCAUUGCGUUCGGUUCAGUUUGAGCUGGUAUCUACAACCCCCCCUCUCCAGCCCCUCUCCAGCCCCCCACCCACCCUUGUAGACCACCCCGUGCGCGCCCGCUCCCAGCUGGCACGUGAUGCUGAUCUGCUGCUGCUGCGCCCCCAGCUCCGACUGAAACGCCGCAAGCGCCGCAUACAGCUCCGUGCGUGGAUUGCUGCUCGCAGCCGCAUCGCUGCCGCCGCCGCCGCCGCCGCCGCCAGUGCCGCCGGUGCCGCCAGUGCCAGUGCCCGCGCUGCGGCCGCUCAGGCUGCUGCCGGCGACGCUGCCGGGCUUUCCGGCGCCGCCGCUGCCGCCGCUGGCAACGCUGGUUCCAGAGACGCGCGGCUUGCGGCCAGUGGCGGCGGCGCCGCCGCCGCCACCGCCCUGUGGCGGGCGCUGCGCGCCGCCCGGUCCGGCGCCGCCGCUGAUGCCGCCGCUGCCACUGGCACUACCGGGUCCAGGCGAGCUCGCAGUGAGCGGAUUGCUGCCAGAGGCUACAGAGCCCGCGCCCACCUCGCUCCCCGGGGUCCGCCGCGUCCCCGCCGCCGCCGCCGCCGCCGCCGUCACGUCGCCAGCAGCGCCCGGCGGCGAUUGCAGCGCGCGCCGCCCCGACCGGGAUCUCUGCCGUUCACGUGACGUCGCCACCGCCGCCGCCGCCGCUAGCGUGACGCCCACGCCCGCCGCCACCGCGCCGGCGCCAUUGCCACUGCCGCCGUCGCCGCCGCCGCCACUCUCCAAGUCGAGGUGCGGCUCUAUUUCCGGGAAGGCACGUGACGCCGCGCUAGAUGGCAGGCCGCUGCCGCCGCCGGCGGGGCUGGCGGCGCCGCCGGUACGGUGGUUGUACGGCCCGUGCUCGGAUCCAACCACCGACCGUGGCGGUGACGUGGCUCCGGAUCCAGGUGUGGCGGCGCCGCCGGCUGACGCAGCCGCCGCUGCGGCGGCGGC
This 32197-nucleotide long non-coding RNA is filed under the name Chlamydomonas reinhardtii. RNAcentral describes it as "long non-coding RNA (CREI_LNC001144)". The record is from RNAcentral. Lineage: Eukaryota; Viridiplantae; Chlorophyta; Chlorophyceae; Chlamydomonadales; Chlamydomonadaceae.